GAGUUUGAUCAUGGCUCAGAUUGAACGCUGGCGGCAGGCCUAACACAUGCAAGUCGAGCGGAUGACGGGAGCUUGCUCCUUGAUUCAGCGGCGGACGGGUGAGUAAUGCCUAGGAAUCUGCCUGGUAGUGGGGGACAACGUUUCGAAAGGAACGCUAAUACCGCAUACGUCCUACGGGAGAAAGCAGGGGACCUUCGGGCCUUGCGCUAUCAGAUGAGCCUAGGUCGGAUUAGCUAGUUGGUGGGGUAAUGGCUCACCAAGGCGACGAUCCGUAACUGGUCUGAGAGGAUGAUCAGUCACACUGGAACUGAGACACGGUCCAGACUCCUACGGGAGGCAGCAGUGGGGGAAUAUUGGACAAUGGGCGAAAGCCUGAUCCAGCCAUGCCGCGUGUGUGAAGAAGGUCUUCGGAUUGUAAAGCACUUUAAGUUGGGAGGAAGGGCAGUAAGUUAAUACCUUGCUGUUUUGACGUUUACCGACAGAAUAAGCACCGGCUAACUCUGUGCCAGCACG
Molecule: ribosomal RNA, 513 nt
Filed under: bacterium enrichment culture clone ALO1_GLFRUDD03F98HU
Lineage: Bacteria
Description: bacterial SSU rRNA
Rfam family: Bacterial small subunit ribosomal RNA
Source: RNAcentral